Molecule: ribosomal RNA, 253 nt
Filed under: uncultured bacterium
Lineage: Bacteria
Description: partial 16S ribosomal RNA
Rfam family: Bacterial small subunit ribosomal RNA
Source: RNAcentral
UACAGAGGUCUCGAGCGUUAGGCGGAAUCACUGGGCUUAAAGCGUGUGUAGGUGGAUCGUUAAGUACCUUGUGAAAUCCCACGGCUCAACCGUGGAACUGCUUGGUAUACUGCGGGUCUUGAGCCACCUAGGGGCAAGUGGAACAAACGGUGGAGCGGUGAAAUGCGUAGAUAUCGUUUGGAACGCCAAUGGUGAAAACAACUUGCUGGGGGUGUGCUGACGCUGAGACACGAAAGCCAGGGGAGCAAACGGG